Molecule: long non-coding RNA, 688 nt
Filed under: Equus caballus (horse)
Lineage: Eukaryota; Metazoa; Chordata; Mammalia; Perissodactyla; Equidae
Description: lncRNA (ENSECAG00000051579.1)
Source: RNAcentral
CUCUAAUAGUUUUCCCAACAUUCCACAGCUAUUGCUAUGGAUACCUUCCACCUCAAGGAUUCCACAAAACAGCAUAGACUUGAUUUCACUAUCAGCAGGCAAUAAUAUUCCAUUCCAGGAGAGACAAAAUAUAGAUGGUAACGUAGGCAGACUCUGAACUCACCUCCUCCUAUGGACACAACAAACUUACAACUACUCUGGGAACAAUUACCCAUGAGAGAGAACUGAAAACUGGAUAAAGAGAACCCCCGCAACAAGGAACAGUCCUGACUGAGGUGGAAGAGGCAGAGAUUCCUUUCUGGAGAGAAAGAAAGCCACCUUUGCAAACCAUGGUACUUCAUGGCCAGCCAGGAGCAGUCCUAAGGUGGUGGGGCUUGUCAGCUUCAGAAGACUUGUGCUUCUCAAACAGCCACAUAGGGGAUCAGCCCCACCUUCCAAAGCCCGAAACAACUGGAUACUCCUGAGCUUGGGGCAAGCUCCAAUCAGCUGCAAUCCUGAGAGCACUGACAGGAGCCUUGUAGGGUGGAGACCUACAGCAAUUGUAAGCCCUGUGAGCCCAGCAACCAAUCACACUGGAGGCCUACUCACUUAACAGGAAAACUGCAACAGGAGUGUGCUAUUCAACCUUGCAGCCAACUGUGCUGAGGCUCCCCAUGCAUGAUAAAGUGACUGAACGGUCCAAAGCAGC